This 243-nucleotide ribosomal RNA is filed under the name uncultured bacterium. RNAcentral's name for it is "partial 16S ribosomal RNA". It matches the Rfam family "Bacterial small subunit ribosomal RNA", at positions 793 to 1033 of the family's 1533-position model. The record is from RNAcentral.
GUCCACGCCGUAAACGAUGAUAACUAGCUGUCCGGGCUCAUAGAGCUUGGGUGGCGCAGCUAACGCAUUAAGUUAUCCGCCUGGGGAGUACGGUCGCAAGAUUAAAACUCAAAGGAAUUGACGGGGGCCUGCACAAGCGGUGGAGCAUGUGGUUUAAUUCGAAGCAACGCGCAGAACCUUACCAGCCUUUGACAUCCUAGGACGGUUUCUGGAGACAGAUUCUUUCCCUUCGGGGACCUAGUG